This 1228-nucleotide long non-coding RNA is filed under the name Gossypium barbadense (sea-island cotton). RNAcentral describes it as "long non-coding RNA (GBAR_LNC016644)". The record is from RNAcentral. Lineage: Eukaryota; Viridiplantae; Streptophyta; Magnoliopsida; Malvales; Malvaceae.
CCUUCUAGAUUAUUAAAUCCCAAAUAUAAUUCUCUGAGUUGUGUCAGAUUUCCAAUACUUCUUGGAAUGAUCCCCGUCAAUUGAUUCAAGGACAAGGACAAAUUAUUAAGGUUGCUGCACUUGCCCAUACUUGACGAAAUGUUACCAGAUAACUCAUUGCUCUGCAAGUAAAGCCCUUCAAGCUUGGGAAGAUGUUGACACAUAUCAUUAGGUAAACUACCUGGUAGGCUAUUGCUGGAGAGAUCAAUGGUCUUCGAAGAAGAAAUGUUGGAGACCGAAGUUGGAAUCUGACCUGUAACGCCUUUAAUUGCUUCAAUAUUAAGCAAUUCCAAACCAAGAAGAUUACCGAUUUCCUCAGGAAUUUGGCCUGCACACAUAGUCGAAAAAUCAAGGUGUCAAACUACCUAUUUUGUUAGCAUAAGUCAAAGAGGUUUUCUUUUCUGUUCUAUAGUAAGUUGGAGAUGUUAGAUUUUCAUAUAUUUCAGCAUAUGUUUUUCAUCAAAUGAAAUAAAAACUUUUUUCUUUUGUUAUCUAUUACAAAUCAAACUCUUUUAUAAAAAAAUACUUAAAAUUCAAGAAAUCAAGGAAAUUGAUUACCUUCUAGAUUAUUAAAUCCCAAAUAUAAUUCUCUGAGUUGUGUCAGAUUUCCAAUACUUCUUGGAAUGAUCCCCGUCAAUUGAUUCAAGGACAAGGACAAAUUUUUAAGGUUGCUGCACUUGCCCAUACUUGACGGAAUGUUACCAGAUAACUCAUUGCUAUGCAAGUAAAGCACUUCAAGCUUGGGAAGAUGUUGACACAUAUCAUUAGGCAAACUACCUAAUAGGCUAUUGUUGGAGAGAACAAUGGUCUUCAGAGAAGAAAUGUUGAAGAUCGAAUUUGGAAUCUGACCUGUAACGCCUUUAAUUGCUUGAAUAUUAAGCAAUUCCAAACCAUGAAGAUUACCGAUUUCCUCAGGAAUUUGACCUGCACACAUAGUCGAAAAAUCAAGGUGUCAAACUACCUAUUUUGUUAGCAGAAGUCAAAGAGGUUUUCUUUUCUGUUCUAUAGUAAUUUGGAGAUGUUAGAUUUUCAUAUAUUUCAGCAUAUGUUUUUCAUCAAAUGAAAUAAAAACUUUUUCCUUUUGUUAUCUAUUACAAAUCAAACUCUUUUAUAAAAAAAAUACUUAAAAUUCAAGAAAUCAAGGAAAUUGAUUACCUUCUAGAUUAUUAAAUCCCAAAUAUAAUUCUCU